Perognathus longimembris pacificus (Pacific pocket mouse) is the source of this 149-nucleotide small nucleolar RNA. Lineage: Eukaryota; Metazoa; Chordata; Mammalia; Rodentia; Heteromyidae. The record is from RefSeq and is a predicted model, not a curated record.
UGCGCACAUUGUUAGAGCUUGGAACUGGGGUCCGCGUGUGACCGGGGAGUUCCCAAGUGUAGGUAGUGUGCAACACGAGGGGCAAGGCGUUCGCUGACACUCCAUCCUCGCCCCGUGGGUGGAGCUCGCUAGUGGUCCUUGCUACAGCU